Molecule: unclassified non-coding RNA, 301 nt
Filed under: Hevea brasiliensis (rubber tree)
Lineage: Eukaryota; Viridiplantae; Streptophyta; Magnoliopsida; Malpighiales; Euphorbiaceae
Source: RNAcentral
AAAAAAAUGGCUAGCUCCGACCCGAAUAAGCGUCCUCGACCCGGUCCAUGGCCACCUGCACCGGAAUCUGCAGCAAUGCCGCCUACUUCAUGGGCAAAGAAAACUGGGUUUCGCCCAAAAUUCUCUGGGGAGACGAAUGCUAGUGAUUCUGGGCAAAUUGGGAUACAGCAGCAGCAGUCGACCCGGAGGAGAGAGUCCGACCCGAAUUUGGAUCUUGAAGCGGGUCGGGUUAGGCCUAGACAGGAGAAGGUUAAUGGGGAAACUACAGGUGAGAAGGAUAAGCCACCUGUGAGGAAAAGGA